This 73-nucleotide transfer RNA is filed under the name Dunaliella salina. Its description in RNAcentral is "tRNA-Thr". It matches the Rfam family "tRNA". From Rfam's summary of the family: Transfer RNA (tRNA) molecules are approximately 80 nucleotides in length. Their secondary structure includes four short double-helical elements and three loops (D, anti-codon, and T loops). Further hydrogen bonds mediate the characteristic L-shaped molecular structure. tRNAs have two regions of fundamental functional importance: the anti-codon, which is responsible for specific mRNA codon recognition, and the 3' end, to which the tRNAs corresponding amino acid is attached (by aminoacyl-tRNA synthetases). tRNAs cope with the degeneracy of the genetic code in two manners: having more than one tRNA (with a specific anti-codon) for a particular amino acid; and 'wobble' base-pairing, i.e. permitting non-standard base-pairing at the 3rd anti-codon position. Lineage: Eukaryota; Viridiplantae; Chlorophyta; Chlorophyceae; Chlamydomonadales; Dunaliellaceae. The record is from RNAcentral.
GCCUGUUUAACUCAAUCGGUAGAGUAUUGGUUUUGUAAACCAAAGGUUGCGGGUUCGAUUCCUGUAGCAGGCU